UAUUUUCUAAGAUCAAAGCGAAGUCAACUUCGCCGACUUUUUCAAAGAUCAAAAAGUCGAUAUCGCUAAGAACUAACGCUUGUCAAAACAGAGCGACUCCGCCUCCCGCCUGUCAGCUCGAUUGACAAACAGCCAAUCGUGUUAAACCUAGUAAAUAUGCUCCAUUGACUUCAGCCAAUGAGAACGCUUGUUUUAUUCAAUCGAGGCACGUGUUUGCACCAUUGACUUUGUGUACAUGUGCUACGUCAUCGAUGUAAUAAAAUUGUAAGGGAUUAAUAUUUACACUUGCCGAUGUUUGUAAAUGUCAAUUUGUGCCAAUUAGGAUUUAUACUUUAUGACAAUAGCGGUUUAAAUGAUGUGCACUGAUGACAAAUGAACUUAAUUGGGUGUGAUUAUCGCGAAGUUAGCGAGAAGGGCAAGUGCGAAUCACAGUUCCAGUUGGUACAACGAAGAUGCAGAUAAAAAUUGGCACUGCGAAGUUUGUAGAGGUGCUAAGUUGGACAACGCCUACGCCCGUGGACAUGACCAACCAGCAAAAACAACCAAUCAUCAGAGACAUGGCUUGUCAAAUCAGCACAAGGCCGCCUUGGAAAAGACAGUUCUGAGUUCCCAGGAACCCAUGAAGAAAAUUGUACUGGCCAAACUGUCCAAGGAUGACAAGCUUGGGGUCAAGCUCCUUAAGACUGCCUACCACCUGGCCA
Long non-coding RNA from Mya arenaria, 701 nucleotides. RefSeq lists it as uncharacterized. NCBI's taxonomy places the organism in Eukaryota, Metazoa, Mollusca, Bivalvia, Myida, Myidae. The record is from RefSeq and is a predicted model, not a curated record. The transcript has 3 exons.